RNAcentral lists this ribosomal RNA (500 nucleotides) under uncultured bacterium. RNAcentral's name for it is "partial 16S ribosomal RNA". It matches the Rfam family "Bacterial small subunit ribosomal RNA", at positions 30 to 523 of the family's 1533-position model. The record is from RNAcentral.
AUUGAACGCUAGCGGGAUGCCUUACACAUGCAAGUCGAACGGCAGCACGGACUUCGGUCUGGUGGCGAGUGGCGAACGGGUGAGUAAUGUAUCGGAACGUGCCCAGUAGCGGGGGAUAACUACGCGAAAGCGUAGCUAAUACCGCAUACGCCCUUAGGGGGAAAGCAGGGGAUCGCAAGACCUUGCACUAUUGGAGCGGCCGAUAUCGGAUUAGCUAGUUGGUGAGGUAAUGGCUCACCAAGGCCGCGAUCCGUAGCUGGUUUGAGAGGAAGACCAGGCACACUAGGACUGAGACACGGGCCAGACUCCUACGUGAGGCAGCAGGGGGGAAUUUUGGACAAUGGGGGAUACCCUGAUCCGGCCAUCCCGCGUGAGCGGUGAAGGCCUUCGGGUUGUAAAGCACUUUUGGCAGGAAAGAAACGGCGCGUGCUAAUACCAUGCGCAACUGACGGUACCUGCAGAAUAAGCACCGGCUAACUGCGUGCCAGCCGCCGCCGUAA